AAGAGACAGCGUCGCCGCGGUAAUACAGAGGGUGCGAGCGUUAAUCGGAUUUACUGGGCGUAAAGCGUGCGUAGGCGGCUUCUUAAGUCGGAUGUGAAAUCCCUGAGCUUAACUUAGGAAUUGCAUUCGAUACUGGGAAGCUAGAGUAUGGGAGAGGAUGGUAGAAUUCCAGGUGUAGCGGUGAAAUGCGUAGAGAUCUGGAGGAAUACCGAUGGCGAAGGCAGCCAUCUGGCCUAAUACUGACGCUGAGGUACGAAAGCAUGGGGAGCAAACAGGAUUAGAUACCCCAGUAGUCCCUGUCUCUUAUACA
This 310-nucleotide ribosomal RNA is filed under the name uncultured bacterium. Its description in RNAcentral is "partial 16S ribosomal RNA". It matches the Rfam family "Bacterial small subunit ribosomal RNA", at positions 503 to 808 of the family's 1533-position model. The record is from RNAcentral.